Molecule: long non-coding RNA, 412 nt
Organism: Pongo pygmaeus (Bornean orangutan)
Lineage: Eukaryota; Metazoa; Chordata; Mammalia; Primates; Hominidae
Exons: 3
Source: RefSeq, a predicted model, not a curated record
GCGAUAUUUGAAUUGAUUGAAAGGUGAAGGGACGGUUCAAAAGAUGGGCGAGAGAGGGGAAAAUAGGCGGGACCGCGACGCGGGAUGAGAAGGCUUGGAGCGGUGGGGGCGCUCACGUCAGAGACAGAGUCUCGCUCCAUAGCCCAGGCUGCAAUGCAGUGAUGUGAUCAUAGCUUGCUGCAGCCUCAAUCUCCUGGGCUCAACCAAUCAUGCUGCCUUAGCCUCCCCUGUUACAGAGACAAGGUCAUACUAUGUUGCCCAGACUGGUCUCGAACUCCUAGCCUUGAUCCUCCUGCUUCAGCUUCCCAAAGUGCUGGGAUUACAAGCAUGAGCCACUGCGCCCAGCUGUAUACUGGAUAUCUGAGACUUGGUACCAAAAAAAAAAUAAAGUAAUUUAAUAUUUUCAUAUUGA